This 441-nucleotide ribosomal RNA is filed under the name uncultured bacterium. Its description in RNAcentral is "partial 16S ribosomal RNA". It matches the Rfam family "Bacterial small subunit ribosomal RNA", at positions 338 to 795 of the family's 1533-position model. The record is from RNAcentral.
CCUACGGGUGGCUGCAGUGGGGAAUAUUGCACAAUGGGGGGAACCCUGAUGCAGCGACGCCGCGUGAGUGAAGACGUAUUUCGGUAUGUAAAGCUCUGUUAGUAGGGAAGUAGAAAGACGGUACCUGACCAAGAAGCCCCGGGUAACUACGUGCCAGCCGCCGCGGUAAUACGGAGGAGGCAAGCGUUAUCCGGAUUUACUGGGUGUAAAGGGAGCGUAGGCGGCUGGGCAAGGUUGGAGUGAAAGGUAGGGGCCCAACCCCGGGACUGCUCUGGAAACUGUCCGGCUAGAGUGCAGGUGAGGUAGGUGGAAUGCAUGGUGUAGCGGUGAAAUGCUUAGAGAUUAGACAGAACACCAGUGGCGAAGGCAGCUUACUAAACUGUAACUGACGUUGAGGCACGAAAGCGUGGGUAGCAAACAGGAUUAGAUACCCGGGUAGUC